AGUAACACGUGGAUAACCUACCUAUAAGACUGGGAUAACUUCGGGAAACCGGAGCUAAUACCGGAUGAUAUUUCGAACCGCAUGGUUCAAAAGUGAAAGACGGUCUUGCUGUCACUUAUAGAUGGAUCCGCGCUGCAUUAGCUAGUUGGUAAGGUAACGGCUUACCAAGGCAACGAUGCAUAGCCGACCUGAGAGGGUGAUCGGCCACACUGGAACUGAGACACGGUCCAG
RNAcentral lists this ribosomal RNA (231 nucleotides) under uncultured Staphylococcus sp. Its description in RNAcentral is "partial 16S ribosomal RNA". It matches the Rfam family "Bacterial small subunit ribosomal RNA", at positions 109 to 334 of the family's 1533-position model. Lineage: Bacteria; Bacillati; Bacillota; Bacilli; Caryophanales; Staphylococcaceae. The record is from RNAcentral.